AUUGAACGCUGGCGGCAUGCCUUACACAUGCAAGUCGAACGGUAACAGGUCUUUCGGGAUGCUGACGAGUGGCGAACGGGUGAGUAAUACAUCGGAACGUGCCUAGUAGUGGGGGAUAACUACUCGAAAGAGUGGCUAAUACCGCAUGAGAUCUAUGGAUGAAAGCAGGGGACCUUCGGGCCUUGUGCUACUAGAGCGGCCGAUGGCAGAUUAGGUAGUUGGUGGGAUAAAAGCUUACCAAGCCUACGAUCUGUAGCUGGUCUGAGAGGACGAUCAGCCACACUGGGACUGAGACACGGCCCAGACUCCUACGGGAGGCAGCAGUGGGGAAUUUUGGACAAUGGGGGAAACCCUGAUCCAGCAAUGCCGCGUGCAGGAUGAAGGCCUUCGGGUUGUAAACUGCUUUUGUACGGAACGAAAAGUCUUGGGUUAAUA
Molecule: ribosomal RNA, 435 nt
Filed under: uncultured bacterium
Lineage: Bacteria
Description: bacterial SSU rRNA
Rfam family: Bacterial small subunit ribosomal RNA
Source: RNAcentral